Molecule: ribosomal RNA, 519 nt
Filed under: uncultured bacterium
Lineage: Bacteria
Description: bacterial SSU rRNA
Rfam family: Bacterial small subunit ribosomal RNA
Source: RNAcentral
AAUAGAUACCCGGGUAGUCCACGCCGUAAACGAUGGAUGCUAGCCGUCGGGGAGCUUGCUCUUCGGUGGCGCAGCUAACGCAUUAAGCAUCCCGCCUGGGGAGUACGGUCGCAAGAUUAAAACUCAAAGGAAGUUGACGGGGGCCCGCACAAGCGGUGGAGCAUGUGGUUUAAUUCGAAGCAACGCGCAGAACCUUACCAGCUCUUGACAUGUCUCGUAUGGGUACCGGAGACGGUAUCCUUCAGUUCGGCUGGCGAGAACACAGGUGCUGCAUGGCUGUCGUCAGCUCGUGUCAUGAGAUGUUGGGUUAAGUCCCGCAACGAGCGCAACCCUCGCCUCUAGUUGCCAUCAUUCAGUUGGGCACUCUAGAGGGACUGCCGGUGAUAAGCCGAGAGGAAGGUGGGAUGACGUCAAGUCCUCAUGGCCCUUACGGGCUGGGCUACACACGUGCUACAAUGGCGGUGACAAUGGGCAGCGAAGGGGCGACCCGGAGCUAAUCUCAAAAAGCCGUCUCAGUUC